UACUUUUCCUGGUUUCUUGGUUUCACAG
Molecule: non-coding RNA, 28 nt
Filed under: Cricetulus griseus (Chinese hamster)
Lineage: Eukaryota; Metazoa; Chordata; Mammalia; Rodentia; Cricetidae
Source: RNAcentral